GGCGAUAAGCCGGAGCAUGCUCGCAUGCGCAGGAUUAUCGACAUUUGCCAGGCAGGACGGCAUGAGCAGGGAGGGCGAAAGCCCGGACUGCGAAUGCCGUCCGCGAUCGCGGGAGUGCCGAAGGCGCGGAGCGAUCGGC
Molecule: small RNA, 139 nt
Filed under: uncultured Eisenbergiella sp.
Lineage: Bacteria; Bacillati; Bacillota; Clostridia; Lachnospirales; Lachnospiraceae
Description: Clostridiales-1 RNA
Rfam family: Clostridiales-1 RNA
Source: RNAcentral